CCCUCUACUUGCACAGAUGAAUGGGGCAACAAUAGGAUGGGUAAACCUAUUACAGAUGAAAGGCUUCAAUAAAGAGACAUGAAACACCCUGGGAAUACAUAAGGUUGAGGGUAAAUCAAGACGAUAACUAACUGGGUUAACACAGGCCACCACCUUAUAGGGACCAAUAAACCUAAGUGCCAGUUUCAUAGAAGGUACCUUAAGGCGGAUAUGUUUUGUGCUCAGCCAGACCUUAUCACUCGGUUGAAAUACAGGAGCAGCGCGUCUAUGCAUAUCAGCAUAUUUUUUAUCUAGGUUGGAUUUGAGAGGAGAUGUUGAGCUCGCUCUCAUGUCUUC
Pelobates cultripes (western spadefoot toad) is the source of this 336-nucleotide non-coding RNA. NCBI's taxonomy places the organism in Eukaryota, Metazoa, Chordata, Amphibia, Anura, Pelobatidae. The record is from the annotation of a GenBank genome assembly.